Piliocolobus tephrosceles (Ugandan red Colobus) is the source of this 104-nucleotide small nuclear RNA. The record is from Ensembl. NCBI's taxonomy places the organism in Eukaryota, Metazoa, Chordata, Mammalia, Primates, Cercopithecidae.
GUGCCUCCUUCAGCAGCACAUACAAUAAAAUUGGGGUGAUACAGAGAUUAUCAUGCCCCCUGUAUGAAUAUGAUACACAAAUUCAUGAAAUGUUCCAUAUUUUA